This 215-nucleotide unclassified non-coding RNA is filed under the name soil metagenome. RNAcentral's name for it is "partial contains 5.8S ribosomal RNA, internal transcribed spacer 2, and large subunit ribosomal RNA". The record is from RNAcentral.
AAGACUAUAGACCUGCGGAGUACCUGCGGAGGGAUCAUUGAGAGAGGGUAGUUGGUGGGAGGGGAAUGAGGGGAGAGGGUGACUCUUGAUGGGAGGCGACUCUCGAUGGGAGACAUCUCUUGAUUCCCACCCACACCACAACACAUUCACGCUUGCUGUGUUUGACUGUUUCAAUAAAAUUUCGUUUUUUACACAACUUUCAACAAUGGAUCUCU